This 30-nucleotide non-coding RNA is filed under the name Cricetulus griseus (Chinese hamster). Lineage: Eukaryota; Metazoa; Chordata; Mammalia; Rodentia; Cricetidae. The record is from RNAcentral.
UGGCUGGAAAGAAAGUAGAAUAUGUGUUAU